Molecule: long non-coding RNA, 480 nt
Filed under: Amborella trichopoda
Lineage: Eukaryota; Viridiplantae; Streptophyta; Magnoliopsida; Amborellales; Amborellaceae
Description: long non-coding RNA (ATRI_LNC003012)
Source: RNAcentral
GAGGAGAGAGAGGAUAAAGUGGGUCGAGAAUAGAGAGAGAAAGUUGGAUUGGCGCGCGGGAAGUAUUAGGAAAGGUCAGAUAGAGAGAGAAAGAGGAGAGAGAGAUGAAAGUAAAGCUUUGAUGUUAUAUCGGCAUUGCAAGAGAGAGAAAGAAGCGUGGUAAAUAGCGCAUUUCAGGUGAGCGAUAAGAGAGGGGAAGUGAAGGUCAUGGCAUAGGGAGAGGGGGAAGGAUUCCAGAGAGACAAGUGUGGUGUGGCGGUGGUGAUAAAUCUGGCAAACCUUGGGGGGCUUAGGGCACGGUCGUCGUGGAGGCAAGCAGUUGAAGAGGGGGGCGACGAGGAGGAUUGCAGGCCUUGGCGUCGAAGGCUCAGGCUCGUCACCACCAUGGCCUUCACCCCUAUUAAUGUCCUCCGCCUCCUCCUGCUCCUCCUCCUCUUAUGCACCAUCACUGUUGCCUGUCUUACCCUGCCCAUCGAAAAG